CUUCUAGUUGUGCACGGGUCAGCUGUUCACCUGCACCCGCCCACAAUUGCUAAUAACCCAUCUGCAACCACGUGACUAUAUGUAAUAAAGUGAAAAUCUGAGGCCCGCACCCGACCCUAACCCGCUACCAUUUUUUUGACAGGGGGGUGCAGAACCAUUAUUUUGACAGGGGGGUGCAGAACCAUUAUUUUGACAGGGGGGUGUAGAACCAUUGUUUGACAGGGGGGUGCAGAACCAUUGUUUGACAGGGGGGUGCAGAACCAUUGUUUGACAGGGGGGUGCAGAACCAUUGUUUUGACAGGGGGGUGCAGAACAAUUUUUUGACAGGGGGGUGCAGAACCAUUGUUUUGACAUGGGGGUGCAGAACCAUUGAUUUGACAGGGGGGUGCAGAACCAUUGCUUUGACAGGGGGGUGCAGAACCAUUUUUUGACAUGGGGGUGCAGAACCAUUGUUUUGACAGGGGGGUGCAGAACCAUUUUUUGACAUGGGGGUGCAGAACCAUUGUUUUGACAGGGGGUGCAGAACCAUUGUUUUGACAGGGGGGUGUGGAACCAUUGUUUGACAGGGGGGUGCAGAACCAUUGUUUGACAGGGGGGUGCAGAACCAUUGUUU
Molecule: long non-coding RNA, 613 nt
Filed under: Salmo salar (Atlantic salmon)
Lineage: Eukaryota; Metazoa; Chordata; Actinopteri; Salmoniformes; Salmonidae
Description: lncRNA (ENSSSAG00000097200.1)
Source: RNAcentral